AGAUUGAACGCUGGCGGCAUGCCUUACACAUGCAAGUCGAACGGCAGCACGGGAGCAAUCCUGGUGGCGAGUGGCGAACGGGUGAGUAAUAUAUCGGAACGUGCCCAGUCGUGGGGGGAUAACGUAGCGAAAGCUACGCUAAUACCGCAUACGAUCCAUGGAUGAAAGCGGGGGAUCGCAAGACCUCGCGCGAUUGGAGCGGCCGAUAUCAGAUUAGGUUGUUGGUGGGGUAAAAGCUUACCAAGCCUGCGAUCUGUAGCUGGUCUGAGAGGACGACCAGCCACACUGGAACUGAGACACGGUCCAGACUCCUACGGGAGGCAGCAGUGGGAAUUUUGGACAAUGGGCGCAAGCCUGAUCCAGCAAUGCCGCGUGCAGGAUGAACGGCCGUUCGGUUGUAAACUGUCUUUUGUAACGGAACGAAACGGUCUACCUUACGUAAGUACGGGGGUCUAAGUGGAACGGUACCGUAAAGAAUUAAGACACCGGACUAACGUACGUAGA
This 504-nucleotide ribosomal RNA is filed under the name uncultured soil bacterium. RNAcentral's name for it is "bacterial SSU rRNA". It matches the Rfam family "Bacterial small subunit ribosomal RNA", at positions 26 to 521 of the family's 1533-position model. The record is from RNAcentral.